UAUCCGGAUUCAUUGGGUUUAAAGGGUGCGCAGGCGGUGUAUUAAGUCAGUGGUGAAAUGCUGCGGCUCAACCGUAGACUUGCCAUUGAUACUGGUACACUUGAAUGUAGUUGAGGUAGGCGGAAUGUGUAAUGUAGCGGUGAAAUGCUUAGAUAUUACACAGAACACCGAUUGCGAAGGCAGCUUACUAAACUAUGAUUGACGCUGAGGCACGAAAGCGUGGGGAGCGAACAGGAUUAGAUACCCUGGUAGUCCACGCUGUAAACUAUGAUCACUGGUUGUUGGCAAUAUACCGUCAGCGACUGAGCGAAAGCAUUAAGUGAUCCACCUGGGGAGUACGUCGGCAACGAUGAAACUCAAAGGAAUUGACGGGGGCCCGCACAAGCGGAGGAACAUGUGGUUUAAUUCGAUGAUACGCGAGGAACCUUACCUGGGCUUAAAUGUAGAGUGCAUAGAGUGGAAACAUUCUUUUCCUUCGGGACUCUUUACAAGGUGCUGCAUGGUUGUCGUCAGCUCGUGCCGUGAGGUGUCGGGUUAAGUCCCAUAACGAGCGCAACCCUUGUCGUUAGUUGCUAGCAGGUCAAGCUGAGGACUCUAACGAGACUGCCGGUGUAAACCGAGAGGAAGGUGGGGAUGACGUCAAAUCAGCACGGCCCUUAUGUCCAGGGCUGCACACGUGUUACAAUGGCCAGUACAAGGAGCAGCCACCUGGCAACAGGGCGCUAAUCUCAAAAGCUGGUCACAGUUCGGAUCGGAGUCUGCAACUCGACUUCGUGAAGGUGGAUUCGUUAGUAAUCGCGCAUCAGCCACGGCGCGGUGAUACGUUCCCGGGCAUUGUACACACCGCCCGUCAAGCCAUGGAAGCUGGGGGUACACUGAAGUCCGUAACC
This 890-nucleotide ribosomal RNA is filed under the name uncultured organism. RNAcentral describes it as "bacterial SSU rRNA". It matches the Rfam family "Bacterial small subunit ribosomal RNA", at positions 542 to 1435 of the family's 1533-position model. The record is from RNAcentral.